GAGCAGUCGGGCUAGGGCCCGAGUUCCACGCCCAGCUGGCCGGCUGGAACGCCACCAAGCCGCAGGCCUUCUGCCUUCAAGCCAGAGCUGCUAUGCUCCGGUAGCCCGGUCAACGAUACAAUACCACGACCUUUGGUGAGAUCGACGCCACUUCUGUAACCGUCUCGACUCCGCGUGAGACUGGUGUGCGCCCACACGCUCGCGGUCUGCCCGAAUUUGCCUGAUAACGUUAGCAUUCUAGCUCUGUGUGUUUCUAAUUGUGAGGCUUUCAUUGAGUGGUUUAUUGUUUUCUUUUCGUUUUUAGUUAUAUUGAAAGUUUUGUGUGUACGUUGUGUGUGAGGCGUUGUGUGUACAAACGCAUUUGUCCUCAAUAGGGUUCUCGGAGGCUCUGCCUCAGAGAACCGUCUAAACCAUUAAAUAAAAGAACCUGUCAUCACAUACUCAUAUUGCUACGUACAACUCGAAUAAGAUGAUGUCGACCUUUAAAUUAAGUGGGACGUACCCAUAAGUGGCCCCUGGCUGAUCUGAGGACGAUGGUAUGACUUGCCGGAUAUUGCCUGGCUUUCAUGUUGGCCAGUGCUUUCUACCUCUUGUAAAUACACCUUGUAAAUAGUUUCCCUGCUGUCCUUCCACGUAACAUUUAUUUGGUAGAGGUCCUGGGUCCCUCUAACGAAGGAGCUUCGCAGCGAAGGCCACCUAGAGUCUACCACCAUGCCGCCAAGUGAUGACACAUCGCCGCUAGUUGCGCCAGCGACCACUACCCAGUUUGUCGCCCUCACAUAGCCCCACCAUCCCGGUACCUUUUUCUUUCUCGAGGAAAAAAAACCCAUAAACCCGAUACCCGACCCAUAAACCCGAUACCCGACCCAUAAAAGUCGGGUAUCUGCGUAUUGCUCCGUAUUCCGGCGCCCUGCACAUAAUCCUUUGCACCCAAUGUCCCCAAGGAAGGUACCCGCUACGCCCAGUCCCCUCCGCCUUAUCGCCGUCUAUCUCCUUCAUCGACUCGCCGCCGCUCUCCUUCGGCGUCCUUUAGCCGUCGCUUUUCGCAGGAAGCCUAGACUGCAUGGCUUUUGGAGGUAAAGUUGCACUGCUCACCUUGACCCAUACCUUCGUUGCCUUUACGUGCCCACCAGCAAAUUCUUGAAGUCCAUGUCAACGGCGUCCCUGUCAGAGCUUUGGUUGAUACUGGGGCGCACGUCUGUGUCAUGAUUGCCAGCUUUCGUCGUCGUAUAUAGGUCAUUAGGCCUCUCACGACCCGAGUGGUAUGUGUCGCUGACGGUGCAACGGCUACUUUUAGGAUGUGCCCAGCUCUGGUUACCAUUGCUGGUCACCAGGCGGUUGUUGUUUUUACGGUCCAAGCGCAGGGCCCUCUAGACCUCGUACUUGGGUUUGAUUUUCUUUCUGCCUAUUCCGAUGCGAUUGAUUGCUCCGCUGGUAUCCUCCGCCUUGAACUGCUUCGUCUCUAUGAACCCAGUGACCAACCUGCUCUGUCUCGCUUACAUUGCAGCGACGUUGUUCGCCUACCAUCUAAAACCGUGACGUAUGUCGAAUUAUCAUGCACGCCAGGUGUCUCAGAUGGCGACUACUACGUGACGCGUCUUACAGACGUCCUGCUCACUCACAGUAUUGCUGCACACUACACUGUCCUGAGAUUUACGGUUAUCAGAACCUGUAUGCCACUUGUGAUUUGGGGUGUCGUGAAUCAGGCACUUCCACAGGGGCUUUCAGUAGCUCACAUUUCAGCUAGAAGCUUUUGCACAGGAUGAUCUAUAUCUUCAGAAGGGUUCUCCGACGCCGACAACGUCUGGCAACCGCGAAGUUCGCAGCAUAAUGACCAUUGACCUUCCGCGUGAGCACACAGAAUCCCUUAGACGUGUGCUCAAGUAGUACCGAGCUAUGUUAGACUUCGGUAAUCGGCCUCUAGGCAAGACGUCCGUACACACGGCGAUACACACAGGCGAUGCGACGCCUGUUCACCGACGCCCCUAUCGAGUAUCUGCGUCUGAGCGAAGUGACAUCCAGCAGGAAGUCAACAAGAUGCUUGCGAAGGACAUUAUCGAUCCAUCAACCUGUGCUUGGGCUUCCCCUGUUGUUUUAAUUAAAAAUAAAGAUGGAUCGUUGUGAUUUUAUGUUGAUUAUUGCCACCUCAACAGCAUUACGAAGAAAGACGCUUACCUGUUACCGAGAAUUGAUGAUGCGCUUGAUUGUCUGUAUGGUGCUGCUUACUUCUCUUCUAUCGACCUUUGAUCUGGGUGCUGGCAGAUAGCUGUGGACUCAAUGCACCAAGAGAAAACGGCUCUUGUAACUCUGUAUUGGCUUUGCCUGUUCAAGGUCAUGCCUUUUGGUCUGGUAUGCCGCAGCCACAUUCGAGAAAAUUAUGAACUGUCUGCUUCAUGGGUUGAAGUUGUACACGUGUUUGUGUUAUUUAGACAAUUUAAUUGUUUUCGCCUACGUUAGAUACACACCCUGAACGCCUGUCAGCAAUUCUUGACGCUUUCCACCGUGCCCGACUUCAGCUGAAUGCGUCGAAUUUUCGUUUUGGCCGUCACUGCAAUACGAUCCUUGGCCAUAUUGUAGAUGCUGCCAGCGUACACAUUGACUCGGAGAAUAUUCUAGCUGUGAAAGGACUCCCUGGGCCGAAGUUUGUCAAAGCUUUUCGCAGCUUUGUGGGGAUAUACUCUUAUUUUCGCCUGUUCGUGAAUAAUUUUGCAGUGAUUGUAAAACCACUCACAUCCAUUCUUAAACAAGAUGCCCCUUUUAUCUGGGGCCCUGCACAUGCAAGCCAUGGCUUUCUCCGACCUAACCACACUCCUCGCAACGCCUCCCAUUUUGGCCCACUUCAACCCAUCCGCUCAAACCGAAGUCCGCCCUGACGCGAGUGGUUACGGAAUAGGCGCUGUCUUGGCCCAACGUCAACGUGGAGCGAACUGCGUCAUCGCCUAGGCCAGCAGGCUGCUGUCCACAUCGAAGCGAAAUUACCCAACUACAGAACGUCAGUGCCUCGCUCUUGUAACGGCAGUAGAAAAAUUUCGCCCUUAUCUAUUCGGCCUACCGUUCACUGUAGUUUCCAACCACCAUGCUAUCUGUUGGCUCACCUCUUUCAAAGAUCCUACAGGCAGACUCGCACGAGGCUAGGCGCCUGCAAGAGAACACCUACACUGUCGGGAACAAUCCGCACAAAGAUGCAGAUUGUUUGUUCCACUGCCCUGUCGCCGAUUCUGACUGUUCGCGCACUAAAUCCGUCGAUUGCGUCUUUUCCAUGAAGUAUUUUCUUAAAAUCGCUGACGAACAGUGUCCAGAUGCCUACUUACGACAAAUGAUCGAGGGCCUGGCAUUCUGUCUCAGCGACGUCUCCGUGCGCAAGUUCACCCCGAAGGGUGGUAUCUUGUACCGGCGUGACGAGUACCCUGAGUGUCCUGAUCUUCUUCUAGUUACACCAUCACACCUGCACAUUUAUUCGCGAGAUUCACAACGCCCCAACCGCUGGCCACCUUGCUGUCACGCUCACACAUGACCGCGUACACCGUCGCUUCUAUUGGCCUGGCCUAGCCCACUGCGUGCGGCGUUACGUAAGCGCCUGCUAGUUCUCUCAACGCCUUAAGAAACCGUUUACGCUUCCUUCUUGGUAUCAUAAACCCAUCGGCGUCCCACCCGAGCCCUUCUACCGUGUCGGUUUGGUCCUUCUGUGAUCCUUUCCUACAGCUGGCUCAGGAAAGAAAUGAGUUGUCGUCGCUACCGCUUACGCGUCGCGCUACGCAAUCACACGAGCGCUGGCGACCACCUGUGGUACAGACGUGGCGGAUUUUCUCCUCGAUGACCUAAUGUUAGUACACAGUGCCCCAAGUGAAUGGCUGACUGACUGAGGCCGUACCUUCCUGUCUAAAGUCAUCCAUGAUACCACCACGUCAUACCACCUCCAGACGAACGGGCUCACCGAGCGCUUAAAUCGAACCUUAACAGACAUGCUUUCAAAGUACGUGUCGGCUCACCACCAUGAUUGGGACUUUGCAAUGCGAUACGUGAUGGUCGCUUAUUAAGGCGAAAGCCCUGUACGUCUCAUCGUUCAGUCGACCUUCAAUGUCCUUGAGCGAAAACCGUGUCGUCGAAGUAAAAUCGUACGUGAUGACGACUUGGUGUAGUAAUUCACUUAUUACACCGACCCCGCGUCGUGUAUUACAUAUAUGCAAACAUCCACGAACCAAUUCUGAUGAUGUGCGAGUCACCAUCGUCAUCGUCUUCUAUGAGCAAGCAAGCAACGCUCGCGUGGCAAUUCUGAUGGUGCGCGGGUUUCUGUUGUGAGCGUGUUAAGAUAGAGUUACUAGACAGUCAACCGAUAAGCCCAAGCCUCUACGGAGUUGCAAGAUAGAGUUAAUUUAGGCACACUAAGCUACGACCUUCGGUGGGAGUCAAACCCUCGAGUUUAUGUGGGAGUCAAACCCACCACCUUUGGCGUUAAGGCGAAGUUAAUUAAGGCACAGUUAAAUAUUAUUGAGGUAAUUAAGGCACUCGAAACCACGACCUUUGGUGUUAAUUAGGACGAGGUUAAUUAAGGGACGGUAAGUUAAGGUAGCGUCAAUUAAGGCACUCGAACGCGCAACCAUUUGUCAGAAAAAAACAAGUAAUAAGAAGUAACAAAGCAUUCGAAUGAGAAUGUCAAGUAAUUUAAUAAUUGUCUCUUAAGCGCGCAAGCCUUCACCCUAUUUGGCGUAUGCUUAAGUGACUGUUAAUUUUUUAUUCCUACUGCCAUGACAGUGCUGGAUACUCUCGCUUUUACUUUUUGUUCGGACGGGAACCAACUUUACCGUUGGACACAUUUCUUCCUUUACCUGCAACUUCGACUAGUGAAUAUGCCCGCGACGCCAUUGCAUGUGCAGUUUACGGAGGGCAGGUAGCCCACAGGAGACUUGUUGCUCCCCAGUACAAUCAUAAGCGCCUUUACAACCAGCGACACCACGACUGAAGUUUUUCUACUGGUGCAUUCGUGCUACUUUGGACCCCCUUCCGGUGUGUGGGCCUUUCUGAAAAGCUCCUUCCGCGAUACAUAGGACCAUACCACGUCCUUCUACAAGUGACUGACGUCACGUAGGAUAUUCUGUCCACUUGUCUCACACCAUGUUCUGUUUUGUUCUCCAGCGACGUCAUCCAUAUUUUGAUGCUCAAGAAUUAUGACCCGUCCUCUGCUGUGGGUCUUCAGUAGCGCCGGGCCAGCGCUUCUGCCGCGGGGGGUCGUGAUACGUGCUACACGAUGAUGAGGUUGCCCUUCAGAUUUAGUGGGACAUACCUAUAAGCGGCUAAUGGCUGAUCUGAGGACGACGAUGUGCCUAGAUGGAAGAUGGCUAGCUUCCUUGCUGGCCAGUGCUCGCUACCACUUGUAAAUACACAUUGCAACUAGUUUCCUUACUGUGCUUCCACCUAACCGUAUCAUAAGAAGACACCAAACAAGCACCAAGGACAGCAUGGGGGAGGGUACUUGUACUUAUUAAUUGAAAUAAAGGAAUGAUCAAUUAAAGGUAAUUAAAGUGAGCAAACAGAUACAGUUUUCUGUUGCUCAAAACGUGCUACAUAAAAGUGUUUUUUCCGAGUAUGAAAGAGGCCGCGAAUAGACACAAAAUUGCCGCACGGCUGGCCGCUCGAGGCAAUUUGAGUGUACUCGCCGGCUUCUUCAGCGCUCGGAAAAACACAUUUAUGCAGCAUGUAAUGAGCGACACAAAAGCUGUAUCGGGAGUUUUUCGUGUUGCUUUACAAUUUUUUCAUUGACACUUUUAAUGUAAUUUUAAUAUUUGAGAAGUUCUUUAAUUAUUUAACACUAGUUAUGUGAUAAAGCAGAAUGCAACAACAUAAUCUCCGUAUCUUCAAGCGACGGCCAACCACAUCACCUUGGCUCUGUCCAGCUACGUGGCAUUUGCAUAUUCUUACAGUUUAAGUAAAGUUACGUGGCACACUCUUAUAUAUUUUCUUUCGUGGGUCACCCGUUCCUAAUGAAGUCGCUUAAUGCAAGUUUAACUUUCAUUUUGUCAAUCGUUUCGAGAGUGAACUGUCAAGGGCACGGUAGGUUAUUAGUUGUGUAAAUUAUGAAUUUCGGUUUGAAGCACCGAAAUAUUUCAGGUGAAGAUUUUAGGAAAGCAUAGUGUGCACUGACAAUUUUUUUGUUCUUGUUAUUGUUGUUUAGAAAAAGAAAAGCAGGAAUACGAAACUGCGACAAUAUCGCCAAAGCAUUCGCUGGACAUUUUCCCUCGGUUUUCUUGAAUACUCCGGAUGCUACCACCUCUGGUGACUGGCAGUAUAGCUUCAGUGACCAUUUUUACCUUUCACGUUUUUCAGAAAAGGAAAUGGCUGAUUACAGAG
Long non-coding RNA from Dermacentor silvarum, 6345 nucleotides. RefSeq lists it as uncharacterized. The transcript is spliced from 2 exons. The record is from RefSeq and is a predicted model, not a curated record. Lineage: Eukaryota; Metazoa; Arthropoda; Arachnida; Ixodida; Ixodidae.